UACGUAGGGGGCAAGCGUUGUCCGGAUUUAUUGGGCGUAAAGAGCGUGUAGGCGGCUAGAUAGGUCCGUUGUGAAAACUCGAGGCUCAACCUCGAGACGCCGGUGGAAACCAUCUAGCUAGAGUCCGGAAGAGGAGAGUGGAAUUCCUGGUGUAGCGGUGAAAUGCGCAGAUAUCGGGAAGAACACCGGUGGCGAAGGCGGCCAUCUGGACGGUGACUGACGCUGAGACGCGAAAGCGUGGGGAGCAAACAGG
RNAcentral lists this ribosomal RNA (253 nucleotides) under uncultured bacterium. RNAcentral describes it as "partial 16S ribosomal RNA". It matches the Rfam family "Bacterial small subunit ribosomal RNA", at positions 524 to 776 of the family's 1533-position model. The record is from RNAcentral.